Drosophila pseudoobscura is the source of this 3047-nucleotide long non-coding RNA. RefSeq lists it as uncharacterized. The record is from RefSeq and is a predicted model, not a curated record. The transcript has 5 exons. NCBI's taxonomy places the organism in Eukaryota, Metazoa, Arthropoda, Insecta, Diptera, Drosophilidae.
GGUGAGGUGGGGUGUGGUGUGAUGUUGUGAUCUUUGGGCAUUGCUAUUAGCUUAGCGAGAGGAACCCUGGCUUGGCGAAAUUUCGCCUAUGAUCUUAUUUCUUGAGCUGUAAGAAACCGAUAAAGCUGCUGUUCUUCACGUGCGAAUUAUCCCUAGAAAACCCAAAGAUUAUCCUUACAUUAUACAUAUGUACAGCUUCAUUCUCACUUCGUCGUGCUUCUUCGGGUCUUACGUUAGCACUCAAACUUUAUCGGCGUAGCAUUCCAUACUAUAUUUCACUCAAUUCAUUUUGGGCAUCGUUUGGAUUGGAUUUGGUGCCGGUUUUUUGGCCCUUCAUGCAGACCUCUUGUAUGAACUAAAUUCACACAUACAUAUGUACAUACAUACAUACAUAUGUAUGCAUGUUAAUGCAACAAUAUUAAAUUUAGAUAACCUUCUACGUACAGUAAUAAUUUUCAUAGUCUGACAAAAAACUGUGACGGACGGUAUCUGGCUUUUGGGGAAUUUUACUAUACAGUGUACACUGUAAGUGUGUACCAAGGAUAAUCUCUCGGCACCUCUCUCCACCUAUCUAUCUGUUCCCGUUUAGUCAAUUGUCAAUCACAGGUAGUCAAGACACAGCACGCACACACACACAUGGAGUGGCACAAUCGUCAGCUGUUAUCACUGCACUGGACUGAAUUGCAAGAGACACGCAGGAAAAGGACAGAACGUAAGGUAACAUGGAAUUUAGCGCUGACAGUGGGGGGGAGACAAUGCAACAACUGUUAUGGCAAGAUCAGACAUCGCUCUGCUUCUCGCCCAGACAGGCACUCGGAAGUGGUUGUGCCGAACCGAUCCCAGCCUCGCAGCAAGCACACAACUCGGAAAGAGAAAAAACCAAAUUGCAAUUGUCCUGGUUUGGUGACUGCUGCUGUGGAGCGCCUUGAGGGAACGAUGACUGCCCUUCUACCUGAAAUGAGCACUUUGUGGACUCAACAAAAUAGAUAUGUACAUGUAUGUACAUAUAUUCAACAAAUGCCUGUGCUGGUUGAAGCAGUCGCAGAGCAGGCUGGCACGUUCAAAAGUCUAGGAAGGCAGCAAGGACAGGGGCAAACAGUCGCCAAAUAUUUCCCUGUUUUAACAGACCAGGGACCUCAAGAGCUGGACAUGCAAAUAAACAGCACAAAUAGAGGUAUACAUAUACAUUGAUGCAAUAAAGAAAAUGUUAUUACCGAGCGGCGUUUCAAAAAAUUUGAAAUAUGUUUUGGCCAAUUAAGAUGUGUUGGCAUAUAACGAGGAUGGGCCGCAAGGCAAGUUUGCGCUAAAAAAUUUAAAGAAGUUUUAUGGAGUUUUGAUUGGUAGGCUUUUUUGUUUUUUUGUUUUUUUUUGUAUGCCUAUUAUAUCUGUAUUAUAUAUUUAUAGAUGCUGGAUCAGCUGAAGUCCAGCUUUGGAAGGCCCUUCAGCUGCAAAAAAACGUUAUUUUGAAAACAGUACCACUGCGAACAGCAGAACAUAUAUUUAAGUAAAUUUAAAAAUUAAAAUGAAAUGAAAUGCAGAUUGAUAACCAACUAGAGGUACCCAUUUCACUAGCUACUAGACGACCCAUAUCACCAUAUCAUUGCGGGCAAAAAUGGAAAUGAUGAAAAGCAUUGUUAGGGGUUAGUAAAGAAAGUACCCCUGGUCGGUUAGUGAGUGGUGAUAUCACCACCUCCGAACUAGUUCCCAGUGCUGCUGGGAAAAGAGAGCGCGUUGAGUCAAUUUGCCGCCUUGUAUAAUGCCGUCAUGAGCGGGCUCAAUCCCGCACACACACAUGGACACACACUAACACAUAUGAAGCUCAGGGAGCUUAUACGGGAGAAAAAUGAAAUGAGAGACUCCACGCAGGUCGGUGAAGCAGAAGGAGGAGCAUAGCACGUCCAGGAAGCACGACCAGGUGGACUUCUACCUCACACAAGCGCUGAGCGGAAAUCAGGGAGAAGACGCACAACAUGUCCUCUUCGAGUGCUACAGUGUCACGCCACAAAUUCGAUCACUGUAGUGAUUGAUAGUGAGAUAUAGUGACGCUAUAGCCUCAGACGGUGGGCAAGGAUCAGCGCCGAGCCUUUUUGAAGAGCGUUUUGGCACUUUUCGCGGCUCACAACUCUCCCGCUCGUUUUUACUUCUCAUCAGACGCUCUGCGCUUGCCCACAAUUGCACAAAUUGUUUAAAAAUGUACAUACAUAUAUGUACAUACAUAUGUACAUAUGGAGUUAAUCAAUUUUCGGAACUUAUUUGGAUGCCUUAGGGUCAAUGUGUCACGGCCAUGGCAUCCAGCACAUUUUGAACCAUUUUUUCUCAAAAUUUAGCGCACUGAAACACUCAAACACCCAAUUUGGUAAUUCGCUUCGAUCGGUUUUGCCUAGGAAGGAAUUAAACUAAGUUAUUUCAAAAACUUGACUAUGUUUUAGUAACAAAAAACUAAUACGCUGCAGCUUAAUUCUGACGCUCAGGAUGUGGCAGUGUUGAUUAAAAAAUGAUAGCACUCUUUUUUAUUUCUGGGCUAUGGCAACACCCACACAAAAUUUGAAAAAAGAGAGAGAGAGAGAGAGCCAGGGAGAACAUCUGCUUUGGAAAGAUGAAAAAAAUGUCCACGCUCCAAAAAGGCAAAAAGGCAAAAAGGAGGCAAGCGAAAUGAGCCAUGCUAAGCAAAAAUAUUUGUGUGUUUCCUUCACGCAAUUUGUUUUACCGUUUUCUGCUCAUCGUCAUCCUCCGAAAGAGGGUGGUGGGGGAUCCCACCAUCCCGUCCCCCUUGUACGGCCGAAGAUGUUGACCCUGUAUAGAUUACAGUGCGGGUAGUUGACCCGCUUUUGUGGCGACCGACCUGCCUGCCUGCCUGCCUCCUGCGAAUGAGCCGUAAAGGCCCCCCUUAGAUGGGGGCAAUGAUCUGGAUUGCUCCAAGGGAAAAUUCAAGAGGAGCCAGAAGCAGAGCCAGCCAUUGAUGUGGGGCAAUCGUAGGGAGGGCAGAUGCGUGUGAGGGAUUGACCUGAUUUUUUUCAUCGGGCUGGAAAAUGGAAUACCUUAGGGGA